GACGAACGCUGGCGGCGUGCCUAAUACAUGCAAGUAGAACGCACAGUUUAUACCGUAGCUUGCUACACCAUAGACUGUGAGUUGCGAACGGGUGAGUAACGCGUAGGUAACCUGCCUGGUAGCGGGGGAUAACUAUUGGAAACGAUAGCUAAUACCGCAUAAUAUUAAUUAUUGCAUGAUAAUUAAUUGAAAGGUGCAAUUGCACCACUACCAGAUGGACCUGCGUUGUAUUAGCUAGUAGGUGAGGUAACGGCUCACCUAGGCGACGAUACAUAGCCGACCUGAGAGGGUGAUCGGCCACACUGGGACUGAGACACGGCCCAGACUCCUACGGGAGGCAGCAGUAGGGAAUCUUCGGCAAUGGACGAAAGUCUGACCGAGCAACGCCGCGUGAGUGAAGAAGGUUUUCGGAUCGUAAGGCUCUGUUGUAAGAGAAGAACGGGUGUGAGAGUGGAAAGUUCACACUGUGACGGUAUCUUACCAGAAAGGGACGGCUAACUACGUG
RNAcentral lists this ribosomal RNA (505 nucleotides) under uncultured bacterium. RNAcentral's name for it is "partial 16S ribosomal RNA". It matches the Rfam family "Bacterial small subunit ribosomal RNA", at positions 28 to 507 of the family's 1533-position model. The record is from RNAcentral.